Molecule: regulatory RNA element, 38 nt
Organism: Shewanella loihica PV-4
Lineage: Bacteria; Pseudomonadati; Pseudomonadota; Gammaproteobacteria; Alteromonadales; Shewanellaceae
Rfam family: JUMPstart RNA
Source: Rfam
GGGCAUGUUGGGAGCCGUAACCUAUGGGCGGUAGCGUG